UCCGAUGCAAAUGACACAUUUCAAAGGAUGGGCAUUUACUUCGUGAAUAUUUUGUGCGUUGAGUAGUCGAGUCUAAAGCAAUUUUUAAGUCUCAGUGACAAUGAAAUUGUUAUUCUUAUAUGUUUUUGCUAUGUGUUUCGUGGGAAGUUGGUGUGAUGAUUUUAUAAAAAAAUAUUGUUUUAAUGAUACGAGUAAUAUUCUUAAUUAUCUUAAUAGUAGGGGAGGGAAGGAAUGUUGCCGUCGUUACUGUCUAAAAACUUCUGAAACUUCCGAACCGAUGGAAUCUUGGGAAACUCCAUCAUGUCCGGAACAUCAAGUAUCUUCCCUUGUGCUGUCCUACAUCCUCGGAUUUAUAAUAUUGAUACUGGUAAUCAUCAUAAUAAUUCUGGCAGUGAUGUUGUAUAGGAAUAGAAAGAAAGAUCAUAAGAUUUUCUCUCCUUCAAAUCAACCGCAACCUGCCACAGAUAUAUCAGACUUAAACAGGUGCUUAAAAACACAAGCAUCCCAUGAAAUGACCAUACUAAAAAUGGAUUCAAUACCAGAUGUACCAGUAAACCAAGCACAAGAAGAAUACAUAGAGAACGUUGAAGACAAAUUAACUACAUCAACAAACAGUAAUCUGAAAAGAAUUACAGCAAAUAGGCAUACAGGCUUAGGCAAAGACUUCAAGGUGUACAGGUCAGUUAAGAGAGCUACGGAUCAACAAAUGAUUUUAAAAGAUCAAAUGAAGAAAAUAUGCGAUGAUGCACUAGCCAGAGCCCACAUUAACGGUAUGUCUGCUAGCCUGAAAGAUUUAAAUAGUUUGCUCGAAUUAAAUUAUAAUAUAACCAGCCCCGAACAUAGGGUUUCUAAAGCUAGAGAGAAGUCAGCCUCAUAUAAUGAACUUGAUGUAUACGAUAAUAUUCCUUCAAAUAUUCCUGUCACAGAAAUGGCCGGAGAAGCUGUAUAUGAUUGCUUGCCAUCUUCUUAUACGAAAAAUAAUAUUGUAGUAGAAGACUUUGAUACGAAAUAUCUUUUGACAAUAUCAAAAGAAAAUCUUACGGAACCGGAGUAUAUCAACGCUCAGUAUAGAUACAAUAAAUUUUGAGAUUAGACUUUACCUUUGACGUUAACAUAGUAAUAAACAUAAGUCAUAAUAUUUUAUUUAAUGUACAUAUUUAUUUCUAAUCUAGACAAUUUAUAAAUAAAUAACGCGCCUGGAGUUACGUAAAUGUAUGGAUUUUCCUGGACAUAACUGUAUGGUUUAUAUCAUAGAGGAUAAAUGUUAGUGGUAGCGAAUUGUAUACAACGCCAUGUGAGGAAUUACUUGUCUUUCAUAAAAUAAUAAAAAAAAAUAGAACAAGGGUAAAGGACAAAAAAACAAUAGUUGUCCUAGUUUUAAUUUCAGUUUCAUUUGUAAAUAAAUAAUUCAAUUGAGCGAUAAGAAUGUAGGUAUAAAUAUUGUAAUAUAGUUUGAAUUAUUAUUGUCAUCUAAGAUAAAUAGUGGGUUUGAAAGACCUAAGAUCUAUUAUCGUUCUGUAAUAAUUUAUUUUGCCAAAGACUAGUUUUAGUUAAGUAGGUAUUCAAUAUAGCAAAAAUGAAAUGCUUGAUAAAAAUAUAUUUGGUACAUUUAAUUACCUAUAAUUAAUUAGGAUAUAAUUAAUAAAACUGUAAAUACGUUAAUUUAUCGUUUUAAAUGUACAGAAAAUAAUAUUUUUUAAUAUUUACUCCCUUAAACCGUUAAACUAAACAUUGCCUUUGCUUUACUUUCGUUUUACAAUUUGUUUUCUUCUCUUUACGAUUUUCUACUUUAUAUUUUUUUUAUUCUUCAAAAUGUAUCACUAAAAGAAAUAUAAUAUUGUUUUUAAGAACGA
Ostrinia nubilalis (European corn borer) is the source of this 1853-nucleotide long non-coding RNA. RefSeq lists it as uncharacterized. The record is from RefSeq and is a predicted model, not a curated record. The transcript is spliced from 2 exons. NCBI's taxonomy places the organism in Eukaryota, Metazoa, Arthropoda, Insecta, Lepidoptera, Crambidae.